ACAACCUUGUAUUUACACUAAAUUUAGGAAGGUGGAUCCUAAACUAGUAAUUAGAAAUUCUGUAACAAUUUUUUUAAGUCCAGGAGUUGGAAAUUACAGUAGGCAGGUUGCAGUAAUUCACACAUACACACUAGAAAAUAAUGGAAGAAGAGGAGAAAAUGGCUGAACGGAGCCUAAUCUGAAACAGAGAAGGAUUGGUUUUUACAAGAUCUUUUUUUCACUUUUCAGUCUUCUAAGUACCUAUUAGUCAAGGUGAUUAAGAUACCAUCAAUUAGAUUGGGGAAACAGUAUAAAUAUUUGAACUAGUCCAUUUUUCCUAAAAUCAGUCACACUAAAAUAACCUUACAUGUUUCUUAUUCAUUACAAUACAGUCAAACUAAAAUCAAUAAGCCUUAAGCACACUUAUCUUAUGUGUCGGUUUAUGAUUUUUGUGAUUCCAGGGACAUAGAAAUAACUACUAUGGAUUAGAUCUGAACCUAAAACUGGGUAGUUUUUGGACAACUGUCUGGAAUACUCAGAAUGGGGUAGAAGAAAUGAAUAUUGAAAAAGAGUAUAAUCAUUAUUAUGUUUCUUCUUGAAGGGAGCAGUGAAUAACUUGAGAAAUGUUUGUUCUAUUACAAGAAAUACCUAGAACAUAACACAGUUUUUGCUGGCUAUUUGCAAUUCAGAGCUUAUUUUGCGCGAAAGUUGCACAGAAGGCAGCAAUUUCUGUACAGCAAACAAAUCCUGUCUUUAUUGCAAAACAAUCACUCUUCAAGACACAGCUUAUUCUGUACAGAAUAUAACAUUGACCAGUUCACUUUAUACUUCAAUUUUUUUCUGUACCUGCCCUAUGCAAUAUUUCUUUGUUCUUCUUUUAAAGGUAGAUGGCUAAUCCUAUUUAUUUUAUUUUAUUUAUUUACAUCAUUUUUACCCCGUCCUUCUCACCCGGAGGGACUCAAGGCGGCUUACAAUAGUUGGCAAAUUACAUUGCCCAAAAUUCAUUUAAUAAAACAGUGACAUAUUAAUAAACAAUAAAACAAUACCACAUCAAUUAAAAUUCUUAUUAGACUCUAUAAAACCAUGAAUUAUAAAAUUUAAAAUGCAUGUAUAGUUAAUUAAUCCACUAACACCUUUGUGUGCACCUUGAUUCACGUCAUAUCGACCUCAGAUGUUACUCCUCGAACGCUUGAGUACAUAGCCAUGUCUUCAUUUUAAUCCUAGAAUGGCCUUGAGAACAACGUUGUUCAUUUACUAGUUAGACUUAAACCAAGGAUGAGAAAUGCCUUGGCAGGUCUAAAUCCCUUUUUUAAAUAAUAUCAAUAAUCAAUAAUAUAUAUCUCGUGUAUAUUUCAGUUUUUAAACAUUCUGCCAUAGUGUUGCACCCCAAGGUAGCGUGAGCACUGGAAACUAGACCGAGACCAAUAAACAUUUAAUAUCUUUAUUAAAGCAAAUAUAAAUUCAGGAAUGCAUAAGCGGAAUGGAUGAGAGGGAAAUAGUCCUUUGUGAAAAGGUAUGAAUAAGUCCAAAAAGAUGAAGGAAAAUGUCCAAUAUUAUUGUCCAAAGUCCAAAAACCGAAACACACUCAAACUGUUGGAAAGUUUGAGCGGGGAACAACAAGGAAACAAGGCUGAAUAACAAGGUCCCAAGUCCCUAGGAGAUCAUGGAUAUCAAAGCAGGAACGAGACAAAGCGAAGAUCAAACUUGAAUCAGGAACAAGACAAGGCAGUGAAUUUACUCCGGUUUAAAUCAGGAGUCGCAGCUUGGCUUGGCCGCCAGGAACAGGAGGCUUGGCUUGAUGAAAUCAGGGAACUGGAGUCGGUGAAGUGUUCUCAGGAAAUCGCUACUUUGACACCGCAAAGUGUUUGCAGUGCAAGACACUUUUAUGGAACGAAAAUCAGAUCCCAAUGAAGGGAAACCAAACUCCCCAAAGGUUCCCAAGGGAAUCUUCUUAUCCACAAUCCCCUCGAGAUGCCAAGCGGUUACUUCUUCUAGGCCCUUGUUUUUCUGAUCUCUGGCGAUACAAAAACUCCUAUCGGUUGAAGGGCACAUUCUCUGGGGAACUCUGGACAUCUGGUUCAGCCACGGGAGUAACAUCUUCCGUAUCUCUCCCAAUUAAGGAAGCAUCUGAACUAUUAACAGCUGGCAGCUGUAACCGGAGGGAGGGGGAGGGGCACCCCCAGCGGCCCCUCGGAUAAUGCAGUGGGUCGGUUAACCGGGGCUCGGUUAACCAGAGUUUUACUGUAUUGUAUUUUCAUUCUAUGGAAAUGCUUAUGUGGAAUAGCUCAGAAGGUGGCUUGAAAGUCUAUGAGAUAACAUAGCUAACAAGAGGAUGGUCCUUCCUCACACUGUUCACGAAUUUACAUUAUUAAGGGAUUUGAAGUGUUUAUUUUUCGCAUCUUGCAGGGCUCAUUGAGAAACUGCCCAAUGCUUUUGAAAUCCACAAAAUUAUGAUGCUUAGAUUAUAUUUCAGAGAACUAAAAUGCACAAAAAAUUGACACACACACACAUAUAUACACACACACUAGAGUUGAGUAUACAAGAUGGAGACAUUUCAAAAUGUUUUUUGGACUUUAACAAAAGACAAAAGAGGUGAGUGCAGAGGUAAAAGACAGAAAAGCCCUUGUGAAAAGAAGGGAAAAAAGAAGUCUUACAAAUAUGUGACAAAGUCAAGGGGAAAAGGAAGGUUGGAUGUGAAGGAAUGUGAUGAAAUUUUAACAGAGAUAAUGUAACAUCUCUAGGUUCAGAUCUUAUCUGUGCUACCUGAAUGGAGUCAAAGAUGUUCACUGAAUACAUAAUCAAUGCUUCCAUGGGUCAAACUUUUAGCUGACCUACACACUUCAUUGCCUGUACCUAGCUCUCAUACAAGGGAUUGUGCACACACUAAGACCUCUUCAUGUAUACAGUAAUAAGCUCAAUGACUCUGUAAAAUGUUCUAACAAAUGCAUGGUAAGUAAGGGAAGAGUUAGCUGCCACAAUGCUCCUUACUCAUGCAUUGUACGCUUUGGAAGGCUUUGGUGUCAUUUUUGUUUAGCCAUAAAGGUCCGUAGGAAUCAAAGCAGCUUUACACUUCAUUUUUAAGCCAGUGCCUAGCAUUUACAGAAGCAUCUUUUUGUCAUGUAAGAAUUUGAAGGCAUAUUUAUUUUAAAUCGUCUCCAGUAUUUGAGGCAUCUAAGAUCAAAGUCAUUACUUGAACGAUUUUUAUAAGAAUGUCAGCAAUAAAAUUCUUGUCUUUAUUGUUCAUAUGAGAAUGGAGGGAUGUUUGCUUCUUUUCUAAAGUGACCUCAUAAUUAUCAUAUAUAUAUAUAUAUAUAUAUAUAUCAGAGCCGGUCCAACAAUGAGGCAAAUUAAGCGGUCGCAAAACAUACAGGGACGCAGUCGAGACUCCUUUUUCUGUUGAUUUGUUGUAAAACAUGAUGGUUUGGUGCUUGAUUUGCAAAAUCUUAAUGUAAUUUGAUGUUUAAUAGGCUUUUCCUUAAUCCCUCCUUAUUAUCCAACACUUUUAUUUUUCAGUGAUUUGUUGGGGGGGGGGGCAAAAUUCUGUUCGCCUACACUUGAAAAAUACCUAGGGCUGGCUCUGAGAUAUAUAUAUAUAUAUAUAUAUAUAUAUAUAUAUAUAUAUAUGAAAUCUCUUCUCCUCCUUUCAUGCAGUCUUGUUUUUUUAAAGAAAACAAAAGCUCUUCCUUCUUGUACUAUAGUUUUGACAUGAUCCAAUGUGAUGUCUAAAUUGCAGUGCAACAACCAAGGACAAAAUGGUCUGAAUGAAGCAGUGCUGAGAAAGGGGGAAAAUGGUUAGAAUUUAAUUUGUCUCUAUUUUUUUCCCUUUUACAAUUAGAUUUGGAUGAGACAUCUCUAGUAAUUCAGCAAUUUGCUGAUAACUUAAGUCUAUAGGAUUUGUAGAUCGAAGCAAGAAAUAAAGGGGCAUCUGGCUUGAAUAGUGAAGGGAUGAGAACACAAUGAUUAAGGUUUCUUUAUUUCUUCAGCACAUUUUCCCCUGGGUUUUAAUUAGCCUGUUCAGCUUAAUGUAUGAUAUUGGUGCCUCUUAUGCUCAAUGUAUUAUUCUAGUCCCUGUAUUUCUACUUGUUCUGCUUUAAAACCUUGGUUGUUUUACUUUCUUUCUUUUUCUUUUCUUUGAACUUAGAUGCAGAUGACACCAAAUUGGGAAUGAAGGCGAAUACUCCAAACGACAGGAUCAGAAACCAAAUUGGUUUACUUAUUAGAGAGAGAUGUAUCAGUCAGUCCUCAUUUUUGCAAAUCCUGGCUGCUGUUAGGAAGAGACAGACCUCUCUCUUCUUUUCUGAUUGGUGCUUUCUGAUGCUGAUGCAGUCUGGGAAAUGUAGUUUAGGGCAGGGUUUUUCGAAUGCCCUAGAAUAGGGUUCCUCCCUUCCCAAACUACAUUUCCCGGAUUUCCAUGCUGUUGAAAAUUCACUGCUCUCUUUUGCCCGCUACUAAUGCCGAUACUGCAUUAAUUUCACAGAUGAAUGGCAAAGGAGCCUUCGGCUUUGCUUCCUUGCCUUGUAUUGAAUAUGAAGCUGUCUUUGGGAGCCUUCCAAGAUUUACAAAACUAAAAUGAAAAGUAAGGGCUUACAGUCUCUUAAAAAAGAAGGCUAGUGAGGAGCCAAAGAAAGCCAUAGAAGAAGAAAGGAAAAGAAACUACAUCAAAAGGGAGAAAGUCAAGCUACAGACUGCUGCCUUCAUGAAUCACGUCAGUGUAGUGUAUGACUACUGGAGGGAGAAUUGGAAGAGUUCAUCACAAAUACGCAGGCACUUCCAAAGUUGAUGGAAUCAGUAGUAAAAUGCCCUGUGGUGCUCUCCUGCCUGCAUCAGCAGGCUUUGUGGUAGGCAUGGGUGAAUCUUUCAGUUUCACUUAUUCAAACAAAUGUAAUCCCAUUCUAGAUAGUAUAUGAAUUUAGGUAAAUUGUUAUCAAAAAAGGAACCAAGCAAAAUCCUCAUCCAUUUCAUCCUACUGGCCAAAUUCUGCAGGAUAUUUAUCCUGUGUAGGAAAGCUUCAAUUUAUUUAUUCAUGUUAUUCCAACAAAACUCUAGUCAGAGACAUUGUAAAGACCGGUAACAGUUGAUGGAGAAAGUGUUAAACUACAGUCUGAAUAUCCCUUAUCUAAAAUGCUUGGGACCAGAAGUGUGCCGAAUUUUGCAUUUUUAUUUUAUUUUAGAAUAUCUGUAUUUGCAUAUACAGUAGAGUCUCACUUAUCCAAAUAAACGGGCCGGCAGAAUGUUGGAUAAGUGAAUAUGUUGGAUAAUAAGGAGAGAUUAAAUUGGGAGUCACGGCUCAGCUUGGCCACCAGAAACAGGAGGCUUGACUUGAUGAAAUCAGGGAACUGGAGUCGGUGAAGUGUUCUCAGGAAAACACUACGUUGACACCGCAAAUUGCCUGCAGUUCAAGGCACUUUUAUGGAACGAAGAUCAGAUCCCAACGAAGGGAGACCAAACUCCCCAAAGGUUCCCAAAGGAAUCUUCUUAUCCACAAUCCCCUCGAAAUGCCAAGCGGUUAUUCCUUCUAAGACCUUGUUUGUCCGAUCUCUGGCGAUGCAAAAUCUCCUUUCGGUUGAAGGGCAUGGUCUCUGGGGAACUCUGGACAUCUGGUUCAGCCACGGGAGUAGCAUCUCCAGUAUCUCUCCCAAUUAAGGAGGCAUCUGAAUUAUCAACAGCCGGCAGCUGUAAGUGAAAGGAGCUCGGAGAACUCGGCAAAUGGUCAGAAUAAGCUUCAUCUUGGUCAAAGUUCAUUUCUGGAUCAGGUUCAGAAGCCAAAGGUGGCUGGGGUAUGACAGCAGCAAAAGCACUCAGAGAUACCCAAGAGUAAUCUGGAGCUCCAUGGCUGCAGCUACAAUGCUGACAGGCAACAAAAAACUAGCUAAUGCUCCAGAGGACAGGAUUAGAAUUCAAAAUGACCUUGGCAGAUUAGAGAAUUGGGCCAAAACUAACAAAACUAACAAAAUGAAUUUCAACAAGGAUAAAUGUACGAUACUAAGGCAGAAAAAUGAAAUUCAGGGGUUCAGGAUGGGUUAUGCCUGGCUCAACAACAGUCCAUGUGAAAAAAACCUUGGAGUCUUCAUGGACAACAAGUUGAACAUGAGUCAACAGUGUCAACAGAGGCUAAAAUAGCCAAUGGGAUUUUGGGUUGCAUCAAAAGGAGUAUAGUGUCUAGCUUGAGGGAAGUCAUGGCGCCUUUGUAUUCUGCUUUGGUUAGAACUCUCCUGGAAUACUGUGUCCAGUUUUGGACAUUACAAUUGACAAGAGAUAUUGAUAAGCUGGAAGAUGUCCGGAGAAGGGCCACUAAAAUGAUCAAAUGUCUGGAGACCAUGCCCUAUGAGGAAUGUCUUAAAGAACUGGGUAUGUUUAGUCUGCAGAAAAGAAGGUUGAGGGGAGACGUCAUAGCCAUGUAUAAAUAUGUGAAACGGUGUCAUAGAGGGAGCAAAUUUGUUUUCUACUGCCCUUGAAACUAGAUUCAGAACAAUGGGUUCAAAUUACAGGAAAGGAGAUGCCACUUGAACAUUAGAAAGAACAUCUUGACCAUACAAGCUGUUCAAUAGUGGAAUUCUCUGCCUCCAAGUGUGAUGGAAACUUCUUCCUUGGAAACUUUUGAACAGAGUCUGGAUGGCCAUCUGUUAGGGGUAUUUUGUUUGUGCUCUUCCUGCAUGGCAGGGGGUUGGACUAGAUGGCCGAUGUGGUAUCUUCCAAUUCUAUUAUUCUAUGAUUCUAUGUAUGUAUGUGUAUGUGUGUGUCAGUGACUGAGAGAGAAAGUUUGUGUGAGAGACUAGAGAUAUUCUAAAAGGUCUUAGUUGGUUUCAAACUUUUUGUUGGUUACAAUCCUUUAGUUGGUUUCAAAUUUCUCUAUCCUGAGUAGUGGAGAUUACAUUCUUUAUCAAAAGGGAUGUCAUUCCUGAGUAUUAAAGUCUCCUGCUGUUUAAAAAAGUUUUUUUUUUCAUCCUCUACUUCAUUUAAUGAAAGUAACCUCUUGGCUAGUCUAGCAUGAAUAAACUUUAGACACCUCAGCUGCAUAGUGUAAUGAAGUAUUGGAUCUUCAUGCAAUGGUUCUAAUGUCAUUCAUUCUAUUUCUG
Anolis carolinensis (green anole) is the source of this 7055-nucleotide long non-coding RNA. RefSeq lists it as uncharacterized. NCBI's taxonomy places the organism in Eukaryota, Metazoa, Chordata, Lepidosauria, Squamata, Anolidae. The transcript is spliced from 3 exons. The record is from RefSeq and is a predicted model, not a curated record.